AUAACAUGUUAGUUAUAUUAGCUAUGCUGACUAUGACGUUACUUUAGCUAAUAUGGUGACAACGAUGUAGGCUGUUUGUAAAGGUUUGGCUUGGAAAGUGUUUUUUUCGCCUGGUCACAUACAGCUGAUUUGUUGUAAACUGAAGUCCACGAGCAAAUAGAAGAGAAGGAAUUCAACGAGAGUGAACUCUGUUUACGCGUGAUCAGCACGCUCCAGCACUUCCUUGGACACCUGUCUUUGAGAGGGAGAACAUCUGUGGUAUGAUCCAAGGGCUGGAAGACCAGGCAGACUGGAGCACGGUGACCCAGGCCCCCAGCGGGCCCACCACGGAGUAAUCCAACAUGGGCAAAUGCACCGGCUUGGGCUACUUCAUGCACUUGAGCACUGCCACAGGCAAACCAGCAGACACAGCCAGGCUGGACAGCAGACUACUCUACCUUGAGAGGCUACCAGUGCCUGCAGUUCUUCCUCUAGAACAGUGGGACCGCCAACGAUCAGCUGGUUCGAGAGUACGAUGAAGCCCACCCCAACCGGAACCAGCGAGUUAUUUAGCUCAUAGUUGGUAACAUCUCUAACAUCAGUAGUUUAGACCUAUCGUAUUGUUUUUUAUUAACCUGUUUUAAUGUGUAUAAUAUAGAAUCAUUAGGGAGACUAGCCUAGCAGUAAGCGUUGGGCCCAUAACCGAAAGGUUGCUGGUUCGAUUACCCAAGCUGACAAGAUGAAUAAUCUGUCGAUGUACUCUUGAGUAAAGCACUUAACCCUAAUUUGUUCCAGGGGCGCCGUACCACUAUGGCUGAUCCUGUAAAACAACACAUUUCACUGCACCUAUCAGGUGUAUGUAACAAUAUUUAUAUACAGUACCAGUCAAAAGUUUGGACACCUACUCAUUCAACGGUUUUUCUUUAUUUGUACAUUGUAGAAUAAUAGUGAAGACAUCAACUAUGAAAUAACAAUAUGGAAUCAUGUAGUAAGAUUCUUCAAAGUCUUGAUGACCGCUUUGCACACUCUUGACAUUCUCAACCAGCUUCAUGAAGUAGUCAGUCCAGGGCCAGUAUUCAUUAAAGGGAUAGUUCACCCAAAUUACUAAAUUACACAUUUCCUUACCCUGUAAGCAGUCUAUGGACAAGGUUUUUCAGCAAUCCAUGCUUUGGUUUAGUUUCUCUUGCACAAGUUUCCAAAAGGUAACGUUUUAGCAUUUGUGGCACAAAUCCCAUCCAAGUCCUGGUACCGAUAUUAGCAUUUUGGGCUCAUCAUUUUCAAAUCAUCUAUAAGUGACUUGUUGAGCUUCACAGUCAGUUUUAGAUACUUUAAUUAUAUCAAUCCAUAGACUGCUUACAGGGAAGGAAACCAAUGUGUAAUUUGGGUGAACUGUCCCGAGUGGCACAGCGAUCACAGGCACUGCAUCUCAGUGCUAGAGGUGUCACUACAGAUCCUGGUUCGAUUCCAGGCUGUAUCACAACUGGCUGUGAUUGGGAGUCCCAAAGGGCGGCGCACAAUUGGCACAGCAUCAUCCGGGUUAGAGUUUGGCCCGGGUUGGCCAUCAUUGUAAAUAAGAAUUUGUUCUUAACUGUCUUGCCUAGUUAAAAUAAGCACCUCAGAGUGGGAGUGCUGAUCUAGGAUCAGGUUCCCCCUAUCCAUUAAAUAUUAUUCAUUAUGAUUCUAGAUCAGCACUUUCUGAGAUGCCUAAUUAAUAUGGACCAAGACAAGUGCAGAAAGAUUUGAGACAAAGGGAAUUCCUUUAAGACACGGAGUUACAUUCCAUUGACAGAUGAGUGAAAUUGCCAUUAUUUUCUGAGAUUUUCCACCUGGUUUUGCACUGACUUAAAGUAGCAGUCUUGUAACGUCAUAGAUGAAGUCAUGUAUACAGUAUAUUGAGAAACCUUUCAGAACUUCUUGACUUCAGAGCUGUUCUUCUGGGAAGACCCUCGUAAGAUGGGCAUUGAGCUGUCAGAGGCGGAUGGGACCAAAUAUUUCCAUGGGAGGGCACCGGGACACCCGUGUACCAGGCCCAUGGCAGGGCCAAGAGCAGGGAUUUCAUCAAUGGGGGAGACACCAUCUUCAUGCUCACCAUGGAGGGUUGUGGUGGUCCCCCUAUUUACCAACACGUCCACAUCAUAUGAAGAUGUGUCCCACCCGUCCCCUCUACGCGCCACCCGUCACCAUGGUUACCACCGCCAUGCCGCACUCUGACCCCUGCACUAACAUUACAUGUGGGAAUGAGGGAGUCUGUAUUGGAUGCUGGAAAUGCUGUUUGCAGGUGUGCAGUUGGUGAUGACUGGUGGUACUAUGGAGAGACUUGUCAGUAUCCUGGCUUCACCCAGGACACGGUGACCACAGCGCUGAUAGCCUCUUUCUCUGUGCUGGGUGGCAUGUUGGUGGUGACCGUGGCCAGUGUGGUGUGUGUGAAGAGGAAUCACAAGAACAGUGGUGGUGGUGGAGACUGGGGCAUCACAAUGUUCAAUGUCAGCACUACAGGGAUGUAGUGUGUUUUUUCUCCCUGCCAGCACCAAAACGACCCAUGGCCAGCAUUAAGUAGAUGUAAUGAAUAUAUGCUAUGAAGUGUGCCUACAGUAUUGUUUACGGUAGAUGCUGCAUUACUGUUGCUGACAUGUCAUUUCCAUCAUACCAGGAUCUUAAGUUUUAAAUGCAGAUAAUUAUUUUUAAAAUAUGCAUACCAUUUUUCCUAUAGUUGCAGUCAUAGAAUGGAUGGUUUUAGCAGCAUAUCAUUACAGUGCUUCUAUGGUUAGUUUCAUAUUUUCUGUAAUGACCUUAGUGAUCACUGUUUUACAGCCUGUGUUCGUAAUGGCUGCUCAGUGACACGACCUGUCCUGAU
Salmo salar (Atlantic salmon) is the source of this 2833-nucleotide RNA transcript. RefSeq lists it as uncharacterized. Lineage: Eukaryota; Metazoa; Chordata; Actinopteri; Salmoniformes; Salmonidae. The record is from RefSeq and is a predicted model, not a curated record.